Molecule: unclassified non-coding RNA, 240 nt
Filed under: soil metagenome
Description: partial contains 5.8S ribosomal RNA, internal transcribed spacer 2, and large subunit ribosomal RNA
Source: RNAcentral
AACAUCGCGCACCUGCGGGAACCUGCGGAAGGAUCAUUACGAGAGUGUCACCACUCCCAACCCAUUGUUUACCUACCCGUCCACCGUGCUUCGGCAGGCAGCCCUGUGGGACAGAGCCUCGCCCCCUUUCGCGGGGGGUGCCUGCCGCUUGCCAACCAAAACUCUAGCUGUUUUAGUACCAUCUGAGUCUUCCACAAAUGAACAAAACUUUCAGCAAUGGAUCUCAGAUCGGAAGAGCAC